ACUAGCUAAAUGCUUGUGAUUCAAUUCAAACUAUGAAUAAUAGUGUGUGUGAGGUUAGAUACCUAUUCCAAAUGACGAAAAAUUGAUUUUGGGUUCCAAUAUUCGAGUCAUUCUCCAAUCAAAGUUCUGGACAAAAACUUAUGUGUGUUUUACCAAAAUAACCAUACAAAAGUUAAAGUUCAUCCAAGUGUUGAAAAAGAAGAAGACCUCAUGGAGCAAAUUAAGCUCAGAGCGAGGAAGGACCUUACCCUAGACCUCGCAUAGCGAGCUACCCCCUGGCCUUCGCGGUGCGAGCCCCUUCCUCUCUCAUUAGAUAUAGAUGCUAGAGAUCAUCAACAGACACUCCAUUGAAGAUCCAUUCCCUUUUCAGAUAGUGGUGAGAUCUUCUUGCUUUUGGAGGGAUCAUGUUUAUUCAUUUAUCAUUUUGAGUGUCAUUUCUUUUCCUUUUGAGGUAUCCGUGAGCUUGUCUCGACAUCUUCUUGAUAGUUGAUAGAGGCUUCAUAGACCUAGAUGGAGUAGAUUGGAGUUGUCCUUUCUUUGAGUCUAUUUUUGAGAAAACCUUUACUUACGAUUGCGAGUUGACAUUUUAGGAUUGUUUAUUUAAACUACUCUUUAUUUGA
Molecule: long non-coding RNA, 620 nt
Organism: Solanum dulcamara
Lineage: Eukaryota; Viridiplantae; Streptophyta; Magnoliopsida; Solanales; Solanaceae
Exons: 2
Source: RefSeq, a predicted model, not a curated record